UGAGAGUAAAAGUGGUACCAAGGUUUCGUUAGGUGAACCUGCGGAAGGAUCAUUAUUGAAUACGUUGGUUCUGAUGCUGGCUCUUCACUGAGCAUGUGCUCGUUCCAUACUAUUUAUCUUCUCUUGUGCACCUUUUGUAGUCUUUGAAAAGCAAAGUGAACUCUCUCGCAGCAAUGCGGUUUGGGGGACUGGGUGCAAGCCCUUCUCCUGCCUUGCUUUUGCUUUUUCAAAGGCUAUGUUUUCAUAUACACUAUAAAGUUACAGAAUGUCUUUUAAAGAUUGUGCUAGUCGCAGUCAUUAAACCUAUACAACUUUCAGCAACGGAUCUCUUGGCUCUCCCAUCGAUGAAGAACGCAGCGAAAUGCGAUAAGUAAUGUGAAUUGCAGAAUUCAGUGAAUCAUCGAAUCUUUGAACGCACCUUGCGCCCUUUGGUAUUCCGAAGGGCAUGCCUGUUUGAGUGUCAUUAAAUUAUCAACCCAAAAAGUUUUUAUUAGCUUUUUGUGGCUUGGAUGUGGGGGUUUUUGCUGGCUUCCUUCAGUGGAUGGUCUGCUCCCCUUAAAUGCAUUAGCGGGAUCUCUUGUGGACCGUCACUUGGUGUGAUAAUUAUCUAUACCACGUUGACUUUGAAGCAAAACUUAUGGGAACCCGCUCAUAACCGUCUUCGGACAACUCUUGACAUUUUGACCUCAAAUCAGGUAGGA
Molecule: ribosomal RNA, 701 nt
Filed under: Mycena sp. 1 EL-2015
Lineage: Eukaryota; Fungi; Basidiomycota; Agaricomycetes; Agaricales; Mycenaceae
Description: eukaryotic LSU rRNA
Rfam family: 5.8S ribosomal RNA (bases 310-463)
Source: RNAcentral